UCAACUCCGGAUGAAGAGGAAACGGAGGUCCUGGACGGGUCCAGCGGUUACGUAGCUGAGAAGUGGUCAAGUCCGAAUUGGAACCCACGUUUGUGCCCCUUCCACUACACCAACUACCUGUCCCAGGACCUUGUACGAGCUGUUGGCAGAUCGCCUCUUGGUGGGUCUUAAUUCGUUCAGUUACGUACUGAGCACCACCCUGUAGCAGCCCUGCCCAGCACUUGGGAAACAACAGAAACAAGAGUCGGUACCUCCUCCGUGGAUCUUACUUUCAGGAAAGCUAAGCAGCAAAUAAACAGAGGGAGACAGAGUUUGUAGAUACUAAGAAGAAAGUGAACAGGAUGCUGAGGUAAGAGGAUAACUGGAUGUGGGGACUUUUCCUAGUUGAUGAUCAGGGAAGGGUUCCUAGGAGGUAACAUUUAAGCUGAGACCCCUGAGAAACGAAAAGGAGCUGACCGUUGGAAAUCUGAGGAGGAGAUUUCUGGGCGGGUGGAACAGCAGGUGCAAAAAAUCUUAAAGUGCAAAUAAGCUGAAUAUGUGCAAGGACCAGCAGAAUGUUCACCGUAGCUGGAGCAGAGCAAGUGGAAGGAGAAAAUGACAAAGAAUGAGGUUGGAGAAGUGGGCAGGGGCUGUAUCAUACACCCUAGGGUCAUGGUAAUGACUUUAGAUUUUAUUCUAUGACUGGAAGGUCUUUAACCAAAGAGUGAUGCGGUCGAAGUUAGUUAUGUUUUGAAAGAUCAUUCUGCUAGAUAGAGAAAUAUGGGCAAGCAAGAGUGGAGACAUGGAGAGCUGUUAAGAGGCUAUUGGCAUAAUCCAGAUGAGAGAUUAUUUUGAUGCUUGAACUCAGGCAGCGGCAGCAAAGAUGGGGUAGACGGAUUUAUGUAUGUUUUGGGAUACAGUUGACAGUAUUUCCUGAAGGAUUCGAUUUGGAAGGUAAGAAUAAGAAAUGAAACAAGAGUAACUUAUCCUGAGUCUGGCUUCAGCAACUGGAAGGAUGAUGGUGCUGGUGAAGGUGGGGAAUCCACAGUCUUUUUCUGUCGUGGAUAAUUUGAGGAUUUUGUGUGAUAUAGCAGAGGAUAACUCAAGUAAUUGGAUAUAUAUUGUGGUGCGGAUGUCGUUGUCCUCUUUGUUGGCCAUACGCCUACAGUGCGUUUCUCAGCCCCCCUUAAGUAGCAACCAGUGCUGUGCUCUCCCCAAUGAAAAGUGAACAGGAGAGAUGUGCACCGUUGUCGGGCUGGGUCCAGAAAAUUUGUCAACAGGUGCUCUUACUUACUCUGCCAGCUAGACGAUGAUGAGAAGGUUCUGGAGAAGGCAAGGCUUCAAGAUGGAAGAUUGCUGAGUAGAGGAGAAUCUCUGCUUCAUUGACUUAUAUAUCCACCCAGGACUGUUAUAUGGGGAAAAAAUAAACCUUUAUUGUUUGGA
Lontra canadensis (Northern American river otter) is the source of this 1422-nucleotide long non-coding RNA. RefSeq lists it as uncharacterized. The record is from RefSeq and is a predicted model, not a curated record. NCBI's taxonomy places the organism in Eukaryota, Metazoa, Chordata, Mammalia, Carnivora, Mustelidae. The transcript is spliced from 2 exons.